This is a transfer RNA of Ovis aries (sheep), 72 nucleotides long. It matches the Rfam family "tRNA". Rfam says of the family: Transfer RNA (tRNA) molecules are approximately 80 nucleotides in length. Their secondary structure includes four short double-helical elements and three loops (D, anti-codon, and T loops). Lineage: Eukaryota; Metazoa; Chordata; Mammalia; Artiodactyla; Bovidae. The record is from Rfam.
UCCCUGGUGGCUCAGAGGUUAAAGUGUUUGCCUCCAAAGUGGGAGACCCAGGUUCAAUCCCUGGGUUGGGAC